This is a long non-coding RNA of Athalia rosae (coleseed sawfly), 923 nucleotides long. RefSeq lists it as uncharacterized. The record is from RefSeq and is a predicted model, not a curated record. The transcript has 5 exons. NCBI's taxonomy places the organism in Eukaryota, Metazoa, Arthropoda, Insecta, Hymenoptera, Athaliidae.
AGCUUGACGCACCUAAAUCUAACGAUAAGACAAAAAUAAAUCGCACAAAAAAAAAAGAAAAAGCGAGAAGAAAAUUUAAGAUGGUGUAACUUUGGUAGUGUACCGUUAGGUGUUGGCAGGGGCUUUGGGAAAUGCGGGGACAUCGUAUCAAAGAUAUUCACAAACUUACCAUUUCCGAUGUUAAGCUAGCCAAAGCUUCUUCGACAGUUGCGACUAGCCGGCCAUCUUCUUUUCCCGUAAGUCCGCUUCUGAUCGGAGUUGUUGGACAUCCUUCGGAUAAUUAGUGUCGGAGUAGAACCUUCGACGCUACCCGUAGGCGGUGUCCAUGUCAAAGCUCCUCCACCUCGACUACUUCCUCCACUUUCAACGCUCAAUGAAGAUUUUGUCUCACGCCCGGCACUGCCACUGCCACUGCCGCUGCUUUCUAAAUGCACGUCCGAUAUACUAGGGAAAAUAGGAAUGAACAGACGUUGAAUAAUCAAUGAUUGGAAGAAAACUUUUGUCAACGAAAAGGUGCAUGCGGCUCUGAUGGCAGCAGAUCGUCAUGCAGUGAAAAUGCUUCACCUCGACUGGAGCCGCUGGUGGUAGCUGCCGGUGUGCCUCGGUGAUCGUCGACUUUACCUCUCCCGGAAAUGGAUCCUCUGGGAGGAACCGGUGGAGGGAUCUUUCCGGAAGGGACAAGAUUUGGAUUAGGAGGACUCGCCCCACCGCCUCUGCCCUUCAGCACCGCCGGUUCGAAGACAGAGAUGAUAGAAAUGGCCAAAGCAAAGAGACUCACCAGGCUUGGAGUGUGAUGUAACAUGCACUGCAGAACUUCCAGAUGCUGCCACCGCUAAACCACCAUACAACCACCAUAUUACCGUUAUACUAUUAGCGAAUAAUUUCAAUACUAUCUUAUCGCUUCGUAAAAAUGAGAAUUUCAC